GACGUAGGGCGCGAGCGUUGUCCGGAUUUAUUGGGCGUAAAGAGCUCGUAGGCGGCUUGUCGCGUCGUCCGUGAAAACCUGCAGCUCAACUGCAGGCUUGCGGUCGAUACGGGCAGGCUAGAGUUCGGUAGGGGAGACUGGAAUUCCUGGUGUAGCGGUGGAAUGCGCAGAUAUCAGGAGGAACACCGGUGGCGAAGGCGGUUCUCUGGGCCUGUUCUGACGCUGAGGAGCGAAAGCGUGGGGAGCGAACAGG
Molecule: ribosomal RNA, 253 nt
Filed under: uncultured bacterium
Lineage: Bacteria
Description: partial 16S ribosomal RNA
Rfam family: Bacterial small subunit ribosomal RNA
Source: RNAcentral